Molecule: ribosomal RNA, 483 nt
Filed under: uncultured bacterium
Lineage: Bacteria
Description: partial 16S ribosomal RNA
Rfam family: Bacterial small subunit ribosomal RNA
Source: RNAcentral
GACGAACGCUGGCGGCGUGCUUAACACAUGCAAGUCAAACGAUGAUGCCCAGCUUGCUGGGUGGAUUAGUGGCGAACGGGUGAGUAACACGUGAGUAACCUGCCCCUGACUCUGGGAUAAGCGUUGGAAACGACGUCUAAUACUGGAUAUGACUGCCGGCGGCAUGGUCUGGGGGUGGAAAGAUUUUUUGGUUGGGGAUGGACACGGGGUCUAUCAGCUUGUUGGUGAGGUAAUGGCUCACGAAGGCGACGACGGGUAGCCGGCCUGGGAGGGGGACCGGCCACACUGGGACUGAGACACGGCCCAGACUCCUACGGGAGGCAGCAGUGGGGAAUAUUGCACAAUGGGCGAAAGCCUGAUGCAGCAACGCCGCGUGAGGGAUGACGGCCUUCGGGUUGUAAACCUCUUUUAGUAGGGAAGAAGCGAAAGUGACGGUACCUGCAGAAAAAGCACCGGCUAACUACGUGCCAGCCGCCGCCGUAA